GGCCUUUUGAUUAUAAUUUAAGGUCUAACCUGCCCGAUGAGAAUUUGAAUGGCCGCGGUAUUUUGACCGUGCAAAGGUAGCAUAAUAAUUAGUUUUUUAAUUGAAAGCUGGAAUGAAUGGUUGAAUGAGGGAAUUACUGUCUCUUUCUAAAUGUUUAGAAUUUUAUUUUUAGGUAAAAAAGCCUAAAUUUUGUUGAUAGACGAGAAGACCCUUUAGAGUUUUAUAAAGUUUAUUUUCUCUUUAUAAAUAGAAUUAUUACAUGGGAAAUUUGAAUUUAUUUGAUUGGGGCGAUUGAAAAAUUAAUUAAACUUUUUUUUAUACUUACAUAAAUUAGUGAUUGAUUGAUCCAUUUUUUUUGAUUAUAAGAUAAAAUUACCUAAGGGAUAACAGCGUAAUUUUUCUUAAGAGUUCAAAUCUACAGAAUAGUUUGCGACCUCGAUGUUGGAUUAAAAUUAAGUUUUGGUGCAGAAGCUAAAAACUUAGGUCUGUUCGACCUUUAAAAUUU
Molecule: ribosomal RNA, 505 nt
Filed under: Stenygrinum quadrinotatum
Lineage: Eukaryota; Metazoa; Arthropoda; Insecta; Coleoptera; Cerambycidae
Description: partial 16S ribosomal RNA
Rfam family: Bacterial large subunit ribosomal RNA
Source: RNAcentral